This is a long non-coding RNA of Triticum aestivum (bread wheat), 2470 nucleotides long. RefSeq lists it as uncharacterized. NCBI's taxonomy places the organism in Eukaryota, Viridiplantae, Streptophyta, Magnoliopsida, Poales, Poaceae. The transcript has 5 exons. The record is from RefSeq and is a predicted model, not a curated record.
CAAAGGCGCAGCAGCUGAUGGCAGUGAGAGGGAAGAAGACGAUGAUGAAGAAGACGAGGAUGGUUAUGGUGAUGAUAAAGGGGAUCCAAUGGAGGCAGCGACAUCAGCGAUGACGAUGAUGAUGACAACGCCCCUGGUUCUGGUGGUACAGGUGGCAACACAUCCAGGAGGACUAGCACUUCUGCCACCCCUGCCAGCAGCAGCAAUUCAUUGAGUAGCAGGAGCACACUAUAGAUAUUGAUUGACAAAACUUGCUGGAAAGACAAGGAUUUGCCGAAGUCAAAGAAAAAUAACGAAGCAAAGUCUCAGAGCAGCAUUGAUAUGUUCAAGCUCUGCAACUUGAAGCCAGCUUUGCCAACCACCUUUCCUGUGCCAGAUUUCAGCGACAAAGAUAUGUGUGAGAUGAUCAACUUUGCCAUUGACAAGAGCCUGUUCUUAUCAAGUGAUGCUGAAAAAAUCAAAUUGACAUGGAGGAAGCAGGAAAGGGUCUUGACUGGGUUCAUUCAAAGGAAAAAUACAAGGAAUAUUUAAAGAAGCUCCCAGACCUAAGCUCCAGCAAGAGCAAGGCAGCAUCCAUGGCAAACUCUCACAUGGUCCAGAAGCGUAAAGCAGUUUCAAUGAAGAAGAAUCUGCAGUUGCCUCAAACCAAGAGAAGAUGGUGAGUGUAGAUGCUGAAGUAAAUAUGGUCAAGGAAGCUGUGCCUCAAACUAAUAUGCCAACUCGUGAGCAGAGAGCCAACCAAUGUCACAGAAAUUCAACAGAUCAAGGGGAAGACUCCCCUUUCAACAGUCCCACCAAAAUCACCUAAGCAGAAGAUUGUCAAGUUUGCCAGGGGCACAAAGGGGGAAUAGGCCACAAAAGGUUUGGAGUUCGGAGACGAGAGAGAACUGCGAGCCACAACCAUUGAUGCAGGGGUGCCAAGUUCUGCUAGGUUACUGCCAACUCAGACUGGAAAGAUGCCAAUUACAGAUACCAGUGUGCCAACUGAUGUGUCAGUUAGCAGCAUGGUCACAGUAAAAACCACCACAGCUGGUCAGGAAGGCACCACUGCAACUGCAAGCCCCAAGGUGCCUACUCAUAAAGAUGCUUCGUUGCCAAACACAAAAGAAGGUGAUCCAACUAUCAAAGUGCCAUCCCCAAGAGCUAGCACACAGCAGCCAAGCAAGCCUGCAUCACCAAGAGCUGACUUUCAGCAACCAUUAACACAAGAGGAGGUGUUCAACAUUAUAAGUAGGUGCAAGCCUCCAAGGUCGCCAACUACACCACUAUUGUGAACCAAGUCAGUGAACGAUGCACCCAUGUUUGUGCCGCAAGGAGAUGCCCUGGUCCUUGAACCCUUACGAAGAUCAAAGUCUUGUCAUGGUGACGGGUUCUGCGAUGCACCAUCUUUUGACCUCGGCAUAGAUGGUGAUGCUCCAGCACCUGCUCCAGCAGCAGAAAUAGCGGAAGCCGGUGUGAUUUGCAUUGAUGAGUGUGAGUUGGACCUAGCAGCUGUGAAUGAAGGAUGUGCUGCUACUAAUGCUGGCAAGGCAAUAGCUCAAGAGCUAGAUGUUGGUUCACCAGAGAAUUGCCACACCCCGAUAUGCGCAAAAUCAGAAGAUGGCACGAGCAGUUCUUCGGGACCACAUAUUGCACGAAGACAGAGGAGGGUAAUAAGGCCCGCAACAUCUCAAAGGUCUCCAUUCAUUGACUACAACAAGAAGAAGACUUUCAGCUCCAAUGAGGCAAUGAACAAGCUUUACGCUGCCCUCUUGUAUUGGGUCAGGCAUCACAAAGGAGCAAAUGAUGAAGCUACCAGCCUUGAGAUAAUCAGGUAUGGUGCUUUCUACAUUUCUUUAAAGGAGUUAGUUGAUUCGAUGAAGCCGGUUCAAUGGUUAUAAAAAAUUGUUAUUGAGACUGGAAUCUUACACAUCAUUGAUAACUUACCAGAAGGGUCAAAGAAGGUUGUUAUGCCACUGAGGUUUUCUAUAAAUUUACAGCAAGGGAUCCACAAUGUGAAUGAGAUAAACAAGAAGUUUGAUUACAAGAACCGUCUCGACAAGAAAGACUUGUGCUCGAGUGCGCUGAUGUAACCGAUAAGGAGGGAGGGAGGCAUUAUUGGGUCUUCAAUGUCAAUUUGAGGGACGAACGCUUCGAAGUUCUUGACUCAAACAGGAUGCUGGACAACAUUGUGCUGAUGACCACCGCCUCUACCAUCGCGGGGGUAGUACGCCAGCUAUGAAGGAAGCAUUACCCAAAGUUCAGCAUCGAGCACUUCCAGAUUAUUGACAUUGACGUACCGAAGCAUCACAGCAAUAAUGAGUGUGGGUUGUUCGCACUGCUUAAUGCCACCGAGUGGAAUGGUAGCCAACUGCCCAACUACGACCCCAAGGAAGUACUCAACAUCAGGAAGAAGCUGGCAUAUGAUUGGGUUACCAGCAUGCACAACACCGUCCCAUGGAGGAAGUUGCUGAGAUACGACAAGGAGUAG